UGGGGAACCUGCCCCAUAGUCUGGGAUACCACUUGGAAACAGGUGCUAAUACCGGAUAAGAAAGCAGAUCGCAUGAUCAGCUUUUAAAAGGCGGCGUAAGCUGUCGCUAUGGGAUGGCCCCGCGGUGCAUUAGCUAGUUGGUAAGGUAAAGGCUUACCAAGGCGAUGAUGCAUAGCCGAGUUGAGAGACUGAUCGGCCACAUUGGGACUGAGACACGGCCCAAACUCCUACGGAGGCAGCAGGC
This 244-nucleotide ribosomal RNA is filed under the name uncultured Lactobacillus sp. RNAcentral describes it as "partial 16S ribosomal RNA". It matches the Rfam family "Bacterial small subunit ribosomal RNA", at positions 118 to 354 of the family's 1533-position model. Lineage: Bacteria; Bacillati; Bacillota; Bacilli; Lactobacillales; Lactobacillaceae. The record is from RNAcentral.